This 253-nucleotide ribosomal RNA is filed under the name uncultured bacterium. RNAcentral describes it as "partial 16S ribosomal RNA". It matches the Rfam family "Bacterial small subunit ribosomal RNA", at positions 524 to 776 of the family's 1533-position model. The record is from RNAcentral.
UACGUAGGGUGCAAGCGUUGUCCGGAAUUAUUGGGCGUAAAGAGUUCGUAGGCGGUUUGUCGCGUCCGUUGUGAAAGCUUGGGGCUCAACCCCAAGUCUGCAGUGGAUACGGGCAGACUUGAGUUCGGUAGGGGAGACUGGAAUUUACGGUGUAGCAGUGAAAUGCGUAGAGAUCGUAAGGAAGACCAGUGGCGAAGGCGGGUCUCUGGACAGUUCCUGACACUGAGGCACGAAGGCCAGGGGAGCAAACGGG